UACAGUGUACUUACAUACAAUAAAUAAAUAAAUCUUAAAAAAAAAAAAAAAAAAAAAAAAAAAAAAAAAGGUAGGGACUAGGAACAUAGCCUUAGUAGAUAAUGCGUUUACCUCACAGGAAAUAAAAAUCUGAGUUUGAGUCCUCCAACCUGGAAAAUGUCAGGUGUGGUGGUACAAGUUUGUAAGCUGAGGAGGCAAAACAGAGGAUGCCUAGGCCUCUGGCCAGCCCUUAUCCUGCAUGCCAAUGACAGACCCUGUUUCAAAGUAAUUGGGCAGAGUCCCUAAGAAUGAGCCGUGAGCGUGACCUUUAGACUCUAUGCAUAGGACAUCGGGAUCUGCAUGUGCACUGCACUAGCUCCCUCUGUCCUAAAAACAAAAUACAGAUCGCUGCAGCACAGAAUGUGUGCACUGAAGGUAUUUCAGUGUCUUACCAAAUCCUCCGCUGUUCUCAGUGGUACGGUGUCAGGACACCGCCUCUCAGAUAACCUCCAAACGUACUGAGAGAUGAGCUUGAAAAAGAGUUCCUCAAGUACCACAUUUGGGAGACAAGCUACGAGCUGAGCUUCCCAGAAGUCUAUCAAAAGCUGCGGAACUGCGUCUUCAUCCUUUCCACACAGCACCUAGAAAGGAAAGCAUCCCACAUGAAUGCAGAGCCAUCAGUCCGCCAUGCGAUCAUGCAGUUCAUAAUUUUGGCUUGACUGCCACAGCAAGAACUAAGUUACACACUUUCCGUUAAUAAGAAACAGACUCUAGGUGGCAUGUAUGGAAUUUCUGCAGAAAGUCUUUUAUUUUGUAUCCACAGCAAGAACUAAGUUACACACUUUCCGUUAAUAAGAAACAGACUCUAGGUGGCAUGUAUGGAAUUUCUGCAGAAAGUCUUUUAUUUUGUAUGUUUACAUUAUAAACUCAUUAUACAGAAGUCUGUCUUUUCAGUAAUGAGUGAAACUUCAGUUCUAUUCCCUAAUCUCCUUUGGUUUCUAUCAGACAACUCAGAAAAAUUACAUUUCCAACUGGACAAACCU
RNAcentral lists this long non-coding RNA (1022 nucleotides) under Mus musculus (house mouse). RNAcentral describes it as "long non-coding RNA chr3:20010368-20011390". Lineage: Eukaryota; Metazoa; Chordata; Mammalia; Rodentia; Muridae. The record is from RNAcentral.